This 301-nucleotide ribosomal RNA is filed under the name uncultured bacterium. RNAcentral's name for it is "partial 16S ribosomal RNA". It matches the Rfam family "Bacterial small subunit ribosomal RNA", at positions 509 to 807 of the family's 1533-position model. The record is from RNAcentral.
CAGUCGCCACGGGAAUACGAAGGGUGCAAGCGUUAAUCGGAAUUACUGGGCGUAAAGCGUGCGUAGGCGGUGAGUUAAGUCUGCUGUGAAAUCCCCGGGCUCAACCUGGGAAUGGCAGUGGAUACUGGCUCGCUAGAGUGUGUCAGAGGAUGGUGGAAUUCCCGGUGUAGCGGUGAAAUGCGUAGAGAUCUGGAGGAAUACCGAUGGCGAAGGCAGCCAUCUGGCCUAAUACUGACGCUGAGGUACGAAAGCAUGGGGAGCAAACAGGAUUAGAUACCCGCGUAGUCCCUGUCUCUUAUAC